GCAAACUUGGUCAUUUAGAGGAAGUAAAAGUCGUAACAAGGUUUCCGUAGGUGAACCUGCGGAAGGAUCAUUAACAAAAUCACAACAACAACCCUGUUGAACUGUUUGGGGUGGGUGGUAGGUGUCUGGUGGAGGUAGGUAGGUGGGUGGAUAGGGAGGGAGAGGGUCAGGUAGAGGUAGGUGGUCGAGGGGGGGGGUCUCCCCUUCCUUGCCUCCUCCUUUGCCCUUUGCCUCCCCCCUCCUUUGCCCUCCUCCUCCUCUCCUUGCUUGCCCCCCCCCUUUGGCUCUGGCCAUAUAGUAGACUAUUGAUUAGACAGAUGUAUACCUAGGGGUAUGAUGAUGCAUGUCAUCUCUUCUAACGUUAACAACUUUUAACAAUGGAUCUCUUGGCUCUUGCAUCGAUGAAGAACGCAGC
RNAcentral lists this unclassified non-coding RNA (415 nucleotides) under uncultured fungus. Its description in RNAcentral is "partial contains small subunit ribosomal RNA, internal transcribed spacer 1, and 5.8S ribosomal RNA". The stretch from base 1 to 73 matches the Rfam family "Eukaryotic small subunit ribosomal RNA", at positions 1759 to 1831 of the family's 1831-position model. Lineage: Eukaryota; Fungi. The record is from RNAcentral.